CCUUGCCAGCCCGCUCAGAAACUCAAAGGACUUGACGGGGGCCCGCACAAGCGGUGGAGUAUGUGGUUUAAUUCGAUGCAACGCGAAGAACCUUACCUGGUCUUGACAUCCCGGAGACCCUUAGGAAACUAGGGGGUGCUUCCAUCUGGAAGAAUCUGGAGACAGGUGCUGCAUGGCUGUCGUCAGCUCGUGUCGUGAGAUGUUGGGUUAAGUCCCGCAACGAGCGCAACCCUUGCCUUUAGUUGCCAGCAGUUCGGCUGGGCACUCUAAAGGGACUGCCGGUGUUAAACCGGAGGAAGGUGGGGAUGACGUCGAGUCCUCAUGGCCUUUAUGACCAGGGCUACACACGUACUACAAUGGCCGAUACAAAGGGCAGCGACACUGCGAGGUGAAGCCAAUCCCGUAAAAUCGGUCUCAGUCCGGAUUGGAGUCUGCAACUCGACUCCAUGAAGUUGGAAUCGCUAGUAAUCGUGGAUCAGCAUGCCACGGUGAAUACGUUCCCGGGCCUU
Molecule: ribosomal RNA, 509 nt
Filed under: uncultured Desulfobulbus sp.
Lineage: Bacteria; Pseudomonadati; Thermodesulfobacteriota; Desulfobulbia; Desulfobulbales; Desulfobulbaceae
Description: bacterial SSU rRNA
Rfam family: Bacterial small subunit ribosomal RNA
Source: RNAcentral